This is a long non-coding RNA of Physella acuta, 434 nucleotides long. RefSeq lists it as uncharacterized. NCBI's taxonomy places the organism in Eukaryota, Metazoa, Mollusca, Gastropoda, Physidae. The record is from RefSeq and is a predicted model, not a curated record.
UUGUGCCUACCAUUAAGCUACGUUACCUUAGCAUUCAGUGAGGAGCUGUCAAAGUGAAAACACGAACAUGUUGAACAUUAAAGUUGCUGUGGUCCUGAUGGUAUUGCUUGCAACAGCCACUUCGUUCAUGCUGAUGAACAGAGCGGGACAUCUAGAGAAACGUUAUAAUUGGUGCCAGCCAGCAUGGAAGGCAUGUGACUAUAGCCAGUUAAUAUGUUGCGAUGGAUACUACUGCAACGUAUAUGGUGGAUUUUGUUUUCCAAAAAAUAAAGCAAGUGCCUGAUUUCCAUAGGAAGAUCUUUGGCAUCAAACAAGACCGCAAGCCUCUUCUGUGUUUUAGAUUUAAAUUGAUUUUUUUUCUAGCAUGAUUUAAUGAAAGAGGUUGAGUUUUGGGCUGUAUUCAAAAGUGAUUAAAACAAUAAAAUAAUGUAUAC